This 661-nucleotide ribosomal RNA is filed under the name Acinetobacter baumannii OIFC083. RNAcentral describes it as "bacterial SSU rRNA". It matches the Rfam family "Bacterial small subunit ribosomal RNA", at positions 55 to 710 of the family's 1533-position model. Lineage: Bacteria; Pseudomonadati; Pseudomonadota; Gammaproteobacteria; Moraxellales; Moraxellaceae. The record is from RNAcentral.
AUGCAAGUCGAGCGGGGGAAGGUAGCUUGCUACUGGACCUAGCGGCGGACGGGUGAGUAAUGCUUAGGAAUCUGCCUAUUAGUGGGGGACAACAUCUCGAAAGGGAUGCUAAUACCGCAUACGUCCUACGGGAGAAAGCAGGGGAUCUUCGGACCUUGCGCUAAUAGAUGAGCCUAAGUCGGAUUAGCUAGUUGGUGGGGUAAAGGCCUACCAAGGCGACGAUCUGUAGCGGGUCUGAGAGGAUGAUCCGCCACACUGGGACUGAGACACGGCCCAGACUCCUACGGGAGGCAGCAGUGGGGAAUAUUGGACAAUGGGGGGAACCCUGAUCCAGCCAUGCCGCGUGUGUGAAGAAGGCCUUAUGGUUGUAAAGCACUUUAAGCGAGGAGGAGGCUACUUUAGUUAAUACCUAGAGAUAGUGGACGUUACUCGCAGAAUAAGCACCGGCUAACUCUGUGCCAGCAGCCGCGGUAAUACAGAGGGUGCGAGCGUUAAUCGGAUUUACUGGGCGUAAAGCGUGCGUAGGCGGCUUAUUAAGUCGGAUGUGAAAUCCCCGAGCUUAACUUGGGAAUUGCAUUCGAUACUGGUGAGCUAGAGUAUGGGAGAGGAUGGUAGAAUUCCAGGUGUAGCGGUGAAAUGCGUAGAGAUCUGGAGGAAUACC